Molecule: ribosomal RNA, 253 nt
Filed under: uncultured bacterium
Lineage: Bacteria
Description: partial 16S ribosomal RNA
Rfam family: Bacterial small subunit ribosomal RNA
Source: RNAcentral
UACGUAGGGGGCAAGCGUUAUCCGGAUUUACUGGGUGUAAAGGGAGCGUAGACGGCUCUGCAAGUCUGGAGUGAAAGCCCGGGGCUCAACCCCGGGACUGCUUUGGAAACUGUGGAGCUAGAGUGCAGGAGAGGUAAGUGGAAUUCCUAGUGUAGCGGUGAAAUGCGUAGAUAUUAGGAGGAACACCAGUGGCGAAGGCGGCUUACUGGACUGUAACUGACGUUGAGGCUCGAAAGCGUGGGGAGCAAACAGG